AUGGCGGAACGGGCCAAUCUGCUCUUUCAUAAUAAAGAGAUAGACGGAACUGGUAUGAAACGACUUAUUAGCAGAUUAAUAGAUCAUUUUGGAAUGGGAUAUACAUCCCAUAUACUGGAUCAACUAAAGACUCUGGGCUUCCAUCAAGCCAAUCCUACAUCGAUUUCGUUAGGAAUCGAGGAUCUUUUAACAAUACCCUCUAAGGGAUUGUUAGACCAAGAUGCGGAACAACAGAGUUUUCUUUUGGAGAAACACUAUUAUUAUGGGGCUGUACACGCGGUAGAAAAAUUACGCCAAUCUAUUGAGAUAUGGUAUGCGACAAGUAUGAGAGGAUUAAUGUCGGACCCUCAAGGACAAAUUAUUGAUUUACCUAUUCAAAGCAAUUUACGCGAGGGACUUUCUUUGACAGAAUAUAUAAUUUCCUGCUAUAGAGCCCGAAAGGGGUUGUAG
Molecule: ribosomal RNA, 450 nt
Filed under: Triticum aestivum (bread wheat)
Lineage: Eukaryota; Viridiplantae; Streptophyta; Magnoliopsida; Poales; Poaceae
Description: partial small subunit ribosomal RNA
Source: RNAcentral